GUCAAGGUCACCCCAUUUGGAAGAUACCUAGACCCCAGCAGCGUUACCUGACCUGUGACACCUUUGUCCCUGUGUCCUUCCUCCUCUGCUUGUCCAUGGUGAAUGUGGCCUCUCCGUCUCAUGGGCGUACUCCCAGCGCACUGGGAGCUUCGGGUACACAGGAGUCCUGCUUUACUUCCUGUGUUGAGCCCAGGGACUGCCCAAGAAAAUGCCCAGUACAGGAAUGCUUCCACCAGGGGUCACAGGGAUGGCUCUGCUGCCCUGGGGGCUGAGUUGGCCACCUGUCCAGUGCCCCAAGUUAACAAGCAAAGCCACAUGUGGGCAGUGGCUGGGAAUCAACCCUGAUUGUCAAGCACAAGAGGCCUGAUGGGCCACAUGAAGAGAGUGCCCACAACCCAGAGGAGCUCCUGGAUACAGCUGUGCGACCAUGAUUUCCAGUGGAAGACGCCACAGCCCCAUUCAGGAGGAACCUCCAAACCUGGGGGCCUCAGGGUGAUGCUGUGACUCACACCAGCAGUAAAAGAACUUCCAAGCAGCUGAGCUGGAGGAAAAAGGGACUUGUGGUAAAUCGUAUUUUCCAAAAAUGGGCACCUUACCACUCUCCCAUCAAGAGGUGGUGCUACUGUUUGAAUGUGUCCCCCAAAGUUCAUGCGUUGAAAACUUAAACAGCAAUGCGAUUGGGUUGAAUGGUGGGCAUUUUCAACGCAAUUGCAAGGGUGAUUGGCUGAGGAAGGCUCUGCCCUCACGAAUGCAUUGAUAUCAUGGUUGAGGGAGUGGGCUCCUGUUGAGAGAAUGGGUACAGCCUCUCCCUCUGCCUCACACGUGCGCUUGUCCUUCUGACAGGAGAUUGUGGAGGAAGAAGGUUCUUGAAAGAUGCCGGCCCCUAGACCUUGGACUUCUCAGCCUCCAGAACUGUAAGAAUUAAAUCUCUGUUCCUUAUGA
Molecule: non-coding RNA, 942 nt
Organism: Callithrix jacchus (white-tufted-ear marmoset)
Lineage: Eukaryota; Metazoa; Chordata; Mammalia; Primates; Cebidae
Source: RefSeq, a predicted model, not a curated record